AUUAACGCUAGCGGCAGGCAUAAUACAUGCAAGUUGAGCGGCAGCGCGGGGGCAACCCUGGCGGCGAGCGGCGGACGGGUGAGGAAUUCGUCGGAAUCUGCCUUUUUGUGGGGGAUAACGUAGGGAAACUUACGCUAAUACCGCAUACGACCUACGGGUGAAAGUGGGGGACCUUCGGGCCUCACGCAGAAAGAUGAGCCGACGACCGAUUAGCUAGUUGGUAGGGUAAAGGCCUACCAAGGCGACGAUCGGUAGCUG
This 258-nucleotide ribosomal RNA is filed under the name uncultured bacterium. RNAcentral describes it as "partial 16S ribosomal RNA". It matches the Rfam family "Bacterial small subunit ribosomal RNA", at positions 29 to 289 of the family's 1533-position model. The record is from RNAcentral.